Molecule: small nucleolar RNA, 225 nt
Organism: Lupinus angustifolius (narrow-leaved blue lupine)
Lineage: Eukaryota; Viridiplantae; Streptophyta; Magnoliopsida; Fabales; Fabaceae
Rfam family: Plant small nucleolar RNA U3
About the family: Small nucleolar RNAs (snoRNAs) are involved in the processing and modification of rRNA in the nucleolus. There are two main classes of snoRNAs: the box C/D class, and the box H/ACA class. U3 snoRNA is a member of the box C/D class.
Source: Rfam
ACGACCUUACUUGAACAGGAUCUGUUCUAUAGGCUCGUACUACUGUAUCCUUGAGUUCUAAGGAGACAGGAACCUAAGUCUGGUUGAUGAACCAUGGCCGUGUGAUCAGAGCGUGAUUAACGGCUCUCUUGAUCUCUCACAUUGAGAGUUUCAUCUGUUGCAAUAGAGGAUCGUUCUCAGUCAGGUUUCACUGAUUGGGAUGGUUGCACGGUUGUCUGACAGACC